GAUGAACGCUGGCGGCGUGCCUAAUACAUGCAAGUCGAGCGAACGGACGAGAAGCUUGCUUCUCUGAUGUUAGCGGCGGACGGGUGAGUAACACGUGGAUAACCUACCUAUAAGACUGGGAUAACUUCGGGAAACCGGAGCUAAUACCGGAUAAUAUUUUGAACCGCAUGGUUCAAAAGUGAAAGACGGCCUUGCUGUCACUUAUAGAUGGAUCCGCGCUGCAUUAGCUAGUUGGUAAGGUAACGGCUUACCAAGGCAACGAUGCAUAGCCGACCUGAGAGGGUGAUCGGCCACACUGGAACUGAGACACGGUCUAGACUCCUACGGGAGGCAGCAGUAGGGAAUCUUCCGCAAUGGGCGAAAGCCUGACGGAGCAACGCCGCGUGAGUGAUGAAGGUCUUCGGAUCGUAAAACUCUGUUAUUAGGGAAGAACAUAUGUGUAAGUAACUGUGCACAUCUUGACGGUACCUAAUCAGAAAGCCACGGCUAACUACGUG
RNAcentral lists this ribosomal RNA (497 nucleotides) under uncultured bacterium. Its description in RNAcentral is "partial 16S ribosomal RNA". It matches the Rfam family "Bacterial small subunit ribosomal RNA", at positions 28 to 507 of the family's 1533-position model. The record is from RNAcentral.